UACGUAGGUGGCAAGCGUUAUCCGGAUUUAUUGGGCGUAAAGGGAACGCAGGCGGUCUUUUAAGUCUGAUGUGAAAGCCUUCGGCUUAACCGGAGUAGUGCAUUGGAAACUGGGAGACUUGAGUGCAGAAGAGGAGAGUGGAACUCCAUGUGUAGCGGUGAAAUGCGUAGAUAUAUGGAGGAACACCGGUGGCGAAGGCGGCUUACUGGACUGUAACUGACGUUGAGGCUCGAAAGCGUGGGGAGCAAACAGG
RNAcentral lists this ribosomal RNA (253 nucleotides) under uncultured bacterium. RNAcentral describes it as "partial 16S ribosomal RNA". It matches the Rfam family "Bacterial small subunit ribosomal RNA", at positions 524 to 776 of the family's 1533-position model. The record is from RNAcentral.